GACGAACGCUGGCGGCGUGCUUUAGGCAUGCAAGUCGAACGCGAAAGCCCCUUCGGGGGUGAGUAGAGUGGCGAACGGGUGAGUAACACGUGGGUAACCUGCCCCUCGCAGGGGGAUAACCGGGGGAGACCCCGGCUAAUACCCCGUACGCUUGCUGGGGCGCAUGCUCCGGCAAGGAAAGGUAGCUUCGGCCAUCCGGCGAGGGAGGGGCCCGCGGCCCAUUAGCUAGUUGGUGGGGUAACGGCCCACCAAGGCGACGAUGGGUAGCUGGCCUGAGAGGGUGGUCAGCCACACUGGGACUGAGACACGGCCCAGACUCCUACGGGAGGCAGCAGCCAGGAAUCUUGCGCAAUGGGCGAAAGCCUGACGCAGCAACGCCGCGUGGGCGAUGAAGGCCUUCGGGUCGUAAAGCCCUGUUGUCGGGGACGAAGGGCGAAGGGUUAAUAGCCCCUAGCCUGACGGUACCCGACGAGGAAGCCCCGGCUAACUACGUG
Molecule: ribosomal RNA, 494 nt
Filed under: uncultured bacterium
Lineage: Bacteria
Description: partial 16S ribosomal RNA
Rfam family: Bacterial small subunit ribosomal RNA
Source: RNAcentral